GACGUAGGGCGCGAGCGUUGUCCGGAUUUAUUGGGCGUAAAGAGCUCGUAGGCGGCUUGUCGCGUCGACUGUGAAAACCCGCAGCUCAACUGUGGGCUUGCAGCCGAUACGGGCAGGCUAGAGUUCGGUAGGGGAGACUGGAAUUCCUGGUGUAGCGGUGAAAUGCGCAGAUAUCAGGAAGAACACCCGUGGCGAAGGCGGUUCUCUGGGACGGUACUGACGCUGAGACGCGAAAGCGUGGGGAGCGAACAGG
Molecule: ribosomal RNA, 253 nt
Filed under: uncultured bacterium
Lineage: Bacteria
Description: partial 16S ribosomal RNA
Rfam family: Bacterial small subunit ribosomal RNA
Source: RNAcentral